UACGAAGGUCCCAAGCGUUAUCCGGAAUUAUUGGGCGUAAAGAGCAUGUAGGCGGUUUACUAAGUUCGAUGUGAAAGCUCUAGGCCUAACCUAGAAAUUGCAUUGAAAACUGGUGAACUAGAAUACUGGAGGGGCAAGUGGAAUUCCAUGUGUAGCGGUGGAAUGCGUAGAUAUAUGGAGGAACACCAAUGGCGAAGGCAGCUUGCUGGACAGUAAUUGACGCUGAGAUGCGAAAGCGUGGGGAGCAAACAGGAUUAGAUACCCUGGUAGUCCACGCCGUAAACGAUGUGCACUAGAAGUCGGGAUAACUCGGUUUCGAAGCUAACGCAUUAAGUGCACCGCCUGGGGAGUACGGUCGCAAGGCUGAA
Molecule: ribosomal RNA, 368 nt
Filed under: uncultured bacterium
Lineage: Bacteria
Description: bacterial SSU rRNA
Rfam family: Bacterial small subunit ribosomal RNA
Source: RNAcentral